UAAAAGUAAAAAUCUGUUUAUUUUUCAUGUUUUCUUUUGUUUGUUUUGUUUCUGCUUUAAGUUCAGAUUAUUUAAAGGAGGAAACUGAAGGAUGAAUUCAGCUUAUUAACAGUUAAUGAACUGAUGGAAGCAGAAUGUUUUGGGCCUCCAGGGCUUCCGUACACAGAGCUCACCUGCAGACUCAGACCAGCUGAUUGGAAAAUGAAGAACAGGUGUGAUCAUCUAUCUAUCUAUCUAUCUAUCUAUCUAUCUAUCUAUCUAUCUAUCUAUCUAUCUAUCUAUCUAUCUUCAUCAUCUCUUCAUCAUCCUCGGGCCGUGGCCUCCCCUCCAUCCUCCUCCUCCUCCUCACCCUUCAUCCCUCUCUCUUCCUCUUCCUCCCCCCAGCCACCCCGUUCCUGUCAGAGCUGAUAGUUUCCACGCCAGCGGAGCGCCGCGGGCCUCCGCUCUGUCACACCACAUCAGGCAGAGGAAGAGGAGGAGAAGGAGAAGGAGGAAGAGGGCGCGUGGUGUCUGCGUUCAAACUGCAGCAGCGGAACCCAAACUUUCUUAUGUGGAGUCGGUCCGGUCCAGUCCGGCUCGGUUCGGAGGAGCAGAGUGGCUGUGCGCCGCGGGAGAAAGGGCGCCAAACAUGAUGAGUGUUCAGUGACGAAAACAGAGGAUGAAGAGGAGGAGGAUGAUAGUUUUGAAGUUUUCCCCAGGAAUCUUUUUGGGACCUCGGUGAUGACGUCACCAGUCUGGACUGGAGUCUUUGUACUGAACCGGUUCUGGUUCUGUUCAGUUUGAUCUCCAAACAUCAACAUGAUCUGGUAAAAACACAUUUAUAUUAAAUUUAAGGAUUUAAAUCUUCACACUCAUGAACUUUCAUGUAAAUAUUGACAGGAUUCAUUGGAACUUUUUUUAUUUUUUAAAGGUUUUGUUGGCUCUAGUGGCCUUUAUUUGAAAGUAGUUUGACAGGAAACAGGGAAGACAUGCGGCAAACGUCGCCAGGCCGGGAAUCGAACCUACGACCACCGCUACAAGGAGUAAGGCCUCAACGUGGGUCAUGCUUUGCCCCUGCGCCGCCACAGCGCCCCGUUCAUUGGAACUUUAAUUGGGUCAAAUCUCUGAAACUUUUUAUUUAAAACUAAGAACGGUCUCUUUUGUCCUGAAAAAAAUAAAUCAAUCUCUCAAAAUAAUUAUUUUGAACAGAGAAAUCUGAAAUUCUCAUAACGUCCUCCUUUUCCCAGCAUGCACUGGGCCGUUUCCGUUCGUCCCGAUGCGGGGCCUGCAUUGUGGCCCCUGCUCGCUGCCGCCCUCUGCUGUUACUUCCUGCACACAGCAGGGUGUACCUGCGGCCUCCCAUCCUGAGGUAAAUGUCGCCCCCUGGUGGAGGAGACCAGAGACUGCUCAGACUGAGGAAGAGGAGGGUCCUGAGGAUUUAUUCUGCUGUUUAAACCUAAAAACAUAUUCAGCAGUGUUAAGACGUUUCCUGUUGAAGUGCCUUUGAGCAGCCGACGGCUGCUGGUUAAAUUGGGGUUUGGUGGGAAACCAGAGUUUCUCUGCGCUUCUUUAAAGACUUCCAGCUGCUGUGACGCCCAGUUUGUUCCUGAGGUUCCAGGUUUUCAAUAUAAAAACUCUCAGUCUGAAAAUAAUCGACGUUUUCUUCCAUAUUCUGAUUUAUUUGGAGGUUGAUUCUGAAAUCCCUCCACCCCACCGGUCUGCUCCUUCUUUUGGGAGCUGCUGCUGGUUUCCGUCUCGGUUUCGUGGUAAACAUGUUUUCUGCUCGGCCUGGAUCCAGAACCAUCAGCCGGAGAACAACGGCUCUGAUAAGCUUCUGAAAUGGCCGGGGGAGGAGCAGGGAUUAUCCCGAACUGGCCCCGGGGCCCUGGCUCCUGCACUCAGACAGAUCGGACCUCCAGGGCGCUUCAAGGGCCCGGCGACCCCCUCAGGAUGGAGAUUACAGGGCGGCGCUGCGGCUUGUAUCUGGGAGCGCCGCGGCCUCACAUGGAAUCACAAGGACAAACAAGCGGCCGUGUGACGAUCAGACACACAACACCGCUGUUCAGGCCACACAGAGCCCAUUGUUAGAGGAGAGGCUGCUGCAGGAAGCAGAGGUAAAAAUAGCAUCAGCCAUGUUUGUUCUGUUCAGCCCAGAUCAGAUAAAAACUCCCAAACACACAAAGUUCAGAUAAUUUCUUUAAUCUGGGAUAAUAAGUCAGAUACAAACACAAAAUGUUCAGGAAUAAAGACAGAACGGUUGGUUCAGAGUCAA
Long non-coding RNA from Xiphophorus couchianus (Monterrey platyfish), 2251 nucleotides. RefSeq lists it as uncharacterized. The transcript has 2 exons. Lineage: Eukaryota; Metazoa; Chordata; Actinopteri; Cyprinodontiformes; Poeciliidae. The record is from RefSeq and is a predicted model, not a curated record.